Molecule: ribosomal RNA, 34 nt
Filed under: uncultured Glomus
Lineage: Eukaryota; Fungi; Glomeromycota; Glomeromycetes; Glomerales; Glomeraceae
Description: partial 28S ribosomal RNA
Source: RNAcentral
UGACCUCAAAUCAGGCAAGAAUACCCGCUGAACU